CAAUAAGAAGCAUGAGGUUUUUUUGUGUUAUAAAUUUGUAUUAACCGCUUUGCUUGUGACCGGCUAACCAGGUCCGGCUAGAUUUCCUAACAUUUACUACCGUCGAUAAGAUGGGAAGCUUCUUUGUUUAAAGGCGAUAUUGUGGAGGUUCAGCCAAACCUGUUCAACCUAGAUGAGAAAGAUGUUGUUUAAAAGGUCGAGUUCUGCUUAGAGUCAUAUUUUGAGAACAUGGGAUUACCUUUCGUGUUAUUGCUGCUGGUUGGGACAGCUACCAGUUCUAUCAAGUUCGACGCCCCCUUAGACUACAACCUAUUUUACUGGCAAGGAAACAACUCCUUACAAUACAACUUGGACAUUCGUAUCCCUCGUGACUCCCGC
This is a long non-coding RNA of Physella acuta, 378 nucleotides long. RefSeq lists it as uncharacterized. NCBI's taxonomy places the organism in Eukaryota, Metazoa, Mollusca, Gastropoda, Physidae. The record is from RefSeq and is a predicted model, not a curated record.